Molecule: long non-coding RNA, 3295 nt
Organism: Branchiostoma floridae (Florida lancelet)
Lineage: Eukaryota; Metazoa; Chordata; Leptocardii; Amphioxiformes; Branchiostomatidae
Exons: 2
Source: RefSeq, a predicted model, not a curated record
AGGCAUCAUGUGACAGUGUCUCUUUGUUAAGAACACGAAGUGUGUAUUUCUGUCAAAGUGCAGAUAUGCUACUUAAACAAUGCAGAAUUUAAGAUCAGUUACUAGUAAGACUUCAGGAUUGUUAUGAGAAGGGAAGUGGAACUGUUCAUUUGAUUAGAUGUGGAGAAUAUACAGAGUUGAUGCUGAUCACACUCUUCAAAGACAUCAUAUACUGUGAUGCAGUUAUCCUGGCCAGGAGAAGGAAUAGAUGCCAUUGCAAGAGACAGAAUAUUUGGAAUACCAUGAUGUACUCUGCCAAAGCUGCUACAAUAUCAAAGUUGUCAAAUGUGACUUGCCUUGAUGAUGUCUUGAACUGUCUUCAUACAAAGAUUAGACAGGGAACAUGUUAUCAAAAAUGUCCUCAGCAUUUUACUGGUACAGUUUUCCAUAAUAAAAGAUAACAGAGCAGACCAAGUAUGUUAGUCCAUACAGAUUGGGGUUUUGCAUGGGUGAAAAUUUUGUAUGUGAAAAAUCUGUGUGAAAAUAUGCAAAUUAGCUGAUUCACCUUUUGCUGUUUUGGACUUGGAAUUAGAAUUAAGAAGUCUGAAAAAGAUGACAUGAAAUGGAAUUGCGUAUCACAUAUAUAGUUGCAGUCUAGACUACAAAAUCUUGUUCUGUCAUUUUUUUCAGUAAUUUUAGAGUGAAUUUCUAAUGUAAAGCUUUCACAUACCAAAAAAAGUUCAAAAUUUGCACAUGAAAGAAACUGCUUAAGAAAAUUUGAUAUGAUUUUUCUGCCUAAGAGCACUAAUUUUGAACUUCUUGUAAAUAUUUCCCAACAUGUUUAGGAACUUUUAUUUUUCUACGUGCAAAUCUUAGACAUGCACAUUUUUUGAGCAAGUUUUUCUAUGCCCAGAAAACCUGUUCCAUGCCAAGAUUUGUGGGUAGACUAUAAUAAGGUGGCCAAUGAACACUCCUAGGCUGGCUACACUCCUUAGACUAGACCACAAGUCUAUCAAGUGUGACUAUUAACUGGAGAUUGUGAAGUGUACUUUCUUCUCUCCAUGUCAUUGUGGGUGGGUAUCAAAUGUGCUAGUAGGAAUAAAGUUUUGUAUAAUAAUGAGUGUGGCUACUAGGCUGUGAUGAUGACAGUGAUGAUGAUGGCUGUGUAUUGUUGGCUGGAAACAUGACUGAUGUUAUUUUUGCAAGAAAACCCAUGUAACUUCUUGUGAGGUAUAGGAUUCAAGAGAUACCUUCUUGAUUAUAAUCUCCCACAGUACAGAUGGAAAAGAGGACAGUAUUUGAAGUGGUGUUGAAUGGUCCCACACAGUUACAGAUACAAUGUAUAAUGGGUAAGCCUGAUGUAAUGGAAAUUGAUUAUCACUUGGACUUAAUUUUGCAGAAUGGGAAAGGAGACAGUGAUUUUUAUUUACAGUUCAAUUCAAAUAAUUAUGAUAAAUUGCAAAUCUAUAUUCACAGUGCCACAAAGUCAUGGUAGACAGAUCACCACACCAAAAAAACCCACUGUGGACAUUUCAAGAUUUGCCUCAGUGGAACACAGUAACUUGUAGACACAGUAUACCUGGACUCCACUAGUUGCUGGCAUCUGUGGUAGAUGCAAAAUACCCUUAUGAUUGUGGUUUCUAAUAUCUAUGCUUUCUACUACAAUGUACAUUAUCCAUGUUGAAGGAUGAUAUUUACAUGUGUCAGAUGGUUGAAAAAAGAUAUAUAGAAUAUAUAUUUCUUAUUUGAUGUGGUGAUUUGGGCCAAUGGACCUGGAGGGCAAGUUUAUGUGUGUGUAAGGUCAUUGUUUGCUGAUGGUAGUUUGUACAAAGGUCUUUUGACUGCCAGUAACAUCGAAGGCACAUAGAAGUGAUGCAUGUUCUGUGUAGAACUAAGAAAAGGUAGUCUUUUGAUGGUCCAUAGAAUUUUGUAUCCUGUUCAAUAUUACUGGUAAAUCAUAUUUUAUGCCUAGUUCUGGUUCAUAUUGUUUGUCAUUCAUGUUGUAUAUGUUAUAAUUUAAUCAUAAAAUAGCUAGUAUCUGUAACUGUAAAUGUGAUUGAAGAGAAUGUGGUCAACAUGUAUGGUAAUAAGAUAACUUCUCAAGGGUUGUUGGAAUAUUUGAAUAUUGAGGCUAACAUAAUUGUAAAAUGAUGAUUCCCAUCCUUAUUGGUGUCAUAGAUUGUACUGUAAAUUCAUAUACGUCUGCAGUGGUUUGAUUAUGGUGAUAGGGAAAGGAGAUUUUAAAGUACUGACGUAUGUUACACCGCAAAUGUCAUUGAUUUGCAAUGGCGAGGUCACCCUAAAACUGAGAAAAUAAACUCACUGUAAACGUUUAAAGAUUUACAGUAUGUACAGGUGGACUAAGAUAUUCAGAGCACAAUGUACUGCCGAUUGUUCACCUUUCCUUUUCUGUGGAAAGAGAAUUCUUGCACUCCCUUUGUACAAAAUCCAAGUUUAUUAAAAUUUGCCAAAGUUUCCUAGAGCAGCUUUACAAAGUAUCUCUUAACUCUUGGUUAUACACAACAAAGCCCUGAUAGUUGUAGACCAGUCUACAUUAUGUUUUACAACACACAUCUUCAUCAGAAACCAACUACAAUGUCUUGAUAUCUUAUGUUCAAGAAUUGUCACAAAGCACUCCUUUGUUUUCAUUACACUUGAUACUUAAAAAAAGUUGAUAUCCGUGAGAAGAUGUAAUACUAAGUGCCUUCAUGAUACAGGGGUGCCUAAGCAUUCAAAACAAUUUUAUGAAGCAUGAAUUUUAUAGAACAUACAUGAAGCACUAUGUAAAAUUGUGUGAAUCUUAUGAAAAAUGCACUAAGCACUGAGAAAUGUCCUAAUCUUAUGGAAAACACAGUUUUUGAUGGUAUACACUCGUUUGAUGCUUUUAGGUAAAAAUAAACACAACGAAACAUACCUUCUCCUAAUGCAGCGGUUGACCGGUUUGAAUUCUUGAAAAUACCUUUUCCAUAAGAUUUGCAUAGUAUACUUGAUGCAUUGUUUAUAAAAUUUGUAUGUUUUUGUACAGUGUUUUUUGUGUGUUUCAUGCUUUCAUGUCUUUUUCAUAAAAUUUGUACAAAUGCUUACGCACUCUUGUGAUCUGUGGUAAAUAAUAUGGACUAAUAAGUGUUCUCAGCACUGCAUGUCUUAUAAUAGGUUUUCAUUAGACACACAAUAAGAUAAUUAUAUGUCCAAUUGUCCACAUAUUGCAAGUGCUUAUAAAUUUGUCAUCAAUGAGUAAGUUGUAAGACUCUAUAGAUAACCCCAGGAAAAUGGGAUUGUCCUUUGUAGAAUAAUAAAUUGUUCUGCUAUUUCUGUA